ACAAGACAAUCUUCACUGUCUUCACUGGUCCAGUCUCUUGUUACCCCAAAUGCAGAUGGAGAUUAUAGAAGAGGAUGGUGUCUUUUCUCCAACAUCUAUUGAAGAUCUAGACAGGCUUGAAUGAAAGUUAACAGCCAUAGGAUUUAUAUAAAGAAUGGUGAGCAGCUACACAUAAAAGGAGAACAUGGAGAAUCUGCUCAGAGGUGUUCACCUGCAACGCAGCUGCUACAGAACUAUUGAUGCAGGAGGAAACACAAGCGAGAUGGUUUCUUGACAUCAACUUAGAACGUGGAUCAAAGAUGAAGACAGGGAAAAUGACUUCAAAGAAAACUGGCCAAGUUGUGCAGAAAAACACUACUGUGAACCCACAGGUUUCCUCUCUUCUUCUUAAAAAACUUACAGACUUUGAAUGGAAUUUUGUUUAGACACUUGCACCAUAUACUGUAAUUUGAUUAAAUGGAAAUAAAGUUUCAUGCAUUGUUAAUGAUGUGCUAUUAACUGUUAAUUGCAAUACAAAAGUACUGCUGGCAUUUUAUCCAACAUACUUCUGUUAAUGUAUUUUUCCCUCCUGACUUUCCUUUUUCUUUUUUUGCAUAAUUUUAAAAUAUUUAAAAACCUUUCCAUUCUUUGAAAGGUAUAAGAGCACUUGAUUGUUUAUAUUCUGAUAUACUGUUCUGUUAACUGUCAAGUGCAUUUAUUUAAUACAGCUGACAUUUCAGCCAACAUGUUUAU
Long non-coding RNA from Paramisgurnus dabryanus, 732 nucleotides. RefSeq lists it as uncharacterized. NCBI's taxonomy places the organism in Eukaryota, Metazoa, Chordata, Actinopteri, Cypriniformes, Cobitidae. The record is from RefSeq and is a predicted model, not a curated record.